RNAcentral lists this ribosomal RNA (465 nucleotides) under uncultured bacterium. Its description in RNAcentral is "partial 16S ribosomal RNA". It matches the Rfam family "Bacterial small subunit ribosomal RNA", at positions 338 to 795 of the family's 1533-position model. The record is from RNAcentral.
CCUACGGGAGGCAGCAGUAGGGAAUCUUCCACAAUGGGCGAAAGCCUGAUGGAGCAACGCCGCGUGGGUGAAGAAGGUCUUCGGAUCGUAAAACUCUGUUGUUAGAGAAGAAAGUGCGUGAGAGUAACUGUUCACGUUUCGACGGUAUCUAACCAGAAAGCCGCGGCUAACUACGUGCCAGCAGCCGCGGUAAUACGUAGGUGGCAAGCGUUAUCCGGAUUUAUUGGGGGGAAAGGGGACGCAGGCGGUCUUUUAAGGCUGAUGUGAAAGCCUUGGGCUUAACCGGAGUAGUGCAUUGGAAACUGGGAGACUUGAGUGCAGGAGAGGAGAGUGGAAGUCCAUGUGUAGCGGUGAAAUGCGUAGAUAUAUGGAAGAACACCAGUGGCGAAAGCGGCUCUCUGGUCUGUAACUGACGCUGAGGUUCGAAAGCGUGGGUAGCAAACAGGAUUAGAUACCCCAGUAGUC